CUGUGCUAGACGGGGAGUUAGCGGUGCCCUGUACCUGCAAUCCGCUAUAGCAGGGUCGAAUGCCUCCUCCGGCAAUGUGCAUGGAAGGCAGUGGCAGUACACGGGAUGUUGAUUCCGAGGUCUUACGCAACGAGUGGCUGCGAACCGUGUCAGGGCAGGAAUGCAGCAGCACUAAACAGAUUCUCUCGUGUGCCGUAAGGUUGCUUCGGAGGAGUUACCGAUGCUGUCGUCGCUUCGGUGUACGUUGACAAGGGAGGCUGCACAG
Molecule: signal recognition particle RNA, 265 nt
Filed under: Clostridia bacterium
Lineage: Bacteria; Bacillati; Bacillota; Clostridia
Description: signal recognition particle sRNA large type
Rfam family: Bacterial large signal recognition particle RNA
About the family: The signal recognition particle (SRP) is a universally conserved ribonucleoprotein involved in the co-translational targeting of proteins to membranes. Archaeal SRP consists of a 7S RNA and homologues of the eukaryotic SRP19 and SRP54 proteins. In most bacteria, the SRP consists of a 4.5S RNA and the Ffh protein (a homologue of the eukaryotic SRP54 protein).
Source: RNAcentral